This 1048-nucleotide long non-coding RNA is filed under the name Gallus gallus (chicken). RNAcentral's name for it is "lncRNA (ENSGALG00010008648.1)". The record is from RNAcentral. Lineage: Eukaryota; Metazoa; Chordata; Aves; Galliformes; Phasianidae.
AAGGAUUCCACGCCUUUGCCAACAAGCACUGUAGCAAAUUGGAAUUUCUCUCAUUAAUUUCAAUGGCUUUGUUUCAAGUCAUUAGUGAUGAGAGGACUUACCGUAUCUUCAAUUAAGACACACGUCACUUCAGACAUUGCGAUCUGGAUAAUGAAAGCCACCACAACAUGUUUCUCUGGAAACUGCAAUGCACAUGUGAUUUGAGUAUCUCUGGAUUGGCCCUAAAGAAGCAACAACAACAGUCAAUGAUUUACUUGUACUUCUGUCACAGAGUCCUCUGAUGCUUUAAGUGAGCUGGGGCAAAGCUCACACACGGGAAAGGAUACAUGCACAUUCAUGAGCAUCACAAACCAAAUCAACAGUACUCCAGUGUUUUCUGAGAUCCUACCUGCAGAAUUGCCUUCAGCUCUGGGUUCCCAGCACAAGAAGGACAUGAACCUAUUGGAGUGGGUCCAGAAGAGGGCAGUGAGGAUCGUCAGAGGGCUGGAGCCCUUCUGAUGAUCCUCUCCUUCUUUGAGGAGUCAAAUGAAGGGAGCUGGGCUUGUACAGCCUGGAGAAGAGAAGGCUCCAGGGAGAACUCAUUGCAGCCUUCCAGUACUUCAAGAGGGCCUACAAGAAAAGAUGGGGAGGGACUCUUUACUGGGGAAUGUGGUGAUAGGACAAGAGGGGAGAUUUAGGUUUGAUAUAUGAAAUUCUUCUCUAUGACAGUGGUAAGGCAGAGCAACAGGCUGCUCAAAGAAGCUGUGGAUGCCCCAGCUCCAGAGGCAUUCAAGGCCAGGUUGGAUGGGGCCCUGAGCAGCCUGAUAGGGUGGGUGGCAGUCCUGCCCACAGCAGGGGGAGUUGAAACUGAAUGAUCUUAAGAUGUCUUCCAACCCAAGCCAUUGUAUGAUUCUGUGUCUGAUUUGAAAAUGUCAACAUUCUGGCAGUUUAAAACCUUUCUCCCAUACACUCAAAAUAUUUUCCAAUUUGAAAACCCUGUCCAGUAUUUGUGUUUCCAAAACAAUUCAUAUUUUGUGAAAAGAGCCAUUUUUAAAAUAAAAUAAUUUUU